Molecule: non-coding RNA, 30 nt
Filed under: Rattus norvegicus (Norway rat)
Lineage: Eukaryota; Metazoa; Chordata; Mammalia; Rodentia; Muridae
Source: RNAcentral
UCCUCGGCUCUGGAUCUGCUCUUUAGGAAU